GAUGAACGCUGGCGGCGUGCCUAAUACAUGCAGGUCGAGCGAACGGACGAGAAGCUUGCUUCUCUGAUGUUAGCGGCGGACGGGUGAGUAACACGUGGAUAACCUACCUAUAAGACUGGGAUAACUUCGGGAAACCGGAGCUAAUACCGGAUAAUAUUUUGAACCGCAUGGUUCAAAAGUGAAAGACGGUCUUGCUGUCACUUAUAGAUGGAUCCGCGCUGCAUUAGCUAGUUGGUAAGGUAACGGCUUACCAAGGCAACGAUGCAUAGCCGACCUGAGAGGGUGAUCGGCCACACUGGAACUGAGAUACGGUCCAGACUCCUACGGGAGGCAGCAGUAGGGAAUCUUCCGCAAUGGGCGAAAGCCUGACGGAGCAACGCCGCGUGAGUGAUGAAGGUCUUCGGAUCGUAAAACUCUGUUAUUAGGGAAGAACAUAUGUGUAAGUAACUGUGCACAUCUUGACGGUACCUAAUCAGAAAGCCACGGCUAACUACGUG
This 497-nucleotide ribosomal RNA is filed under the name uncultured bacterium. RNAcentral's name for it is "partial 16S ribosomal RNA". It matches the Rfam family "Bacterial small subunit ribosomal RNA", at positions 28 to 507 of the family's 1533-position model. The record is from RNAcentral.